Molecule: ribosomal RNA, 466 nt
Filed under: uncultured bacterium
Lineage: Bacteria
Description: partial 16S ribosomal RNA
Rfam family: Bacterial small subunit ribosomal RNA
Source: RNAcentral
GACGAACGCUGGCGGCGUGCUUAACACAUGCAAGUCGAACGGUAAGGCUCCAGCUUGCUGGGGUACACGAGUGGCGAACGGGUGAGUAACACGUGGGUGACCCGCCCUGCACUUCGGGAUAAGCCUGGGAAACUGGGUCUAAUACCGGAUAGGACCAUGGUGUGGAUACUGUGGUGGAAAGUUUUUUCGGUGUGGGAUGGGCCCGCGGCCUAUCAGCUUGUUGGUGGGGUAAUGGCCUACCAAGGCGGCGACGGGUAGCCGGCCUGAGAGGGUGGACGGCCACAUUGGGACUGAGACACGGCCCAGACUCCUACGGGAGGCAGCAGUGGGGAAUAUUGCACAAUGGGCGGAAGCCUGAUGCAGCGACGCCGCGUGGGGGAUGACGGCCUUCGGGUUGUAAACUCCUUUCACCAUCGACGAAGGGUUUCUGACGGUAGAUGGAGAAGAAGCACCGGCUAACUACGUG